AUUGAACGCUGGCGGCAGGCCUAACACAUGCAAGUCGAACGAGUGGCGGACGGGUGAGUAAUGUCUGGGAAACUGCCCGAUGGAGGGGGAUAACUACUGGAAACGGUAGCUAAUACCGCAUACCAUCAGAUGAACCCAGAUGGGAUUAGCUAGUUGGUGGGGUAAAGGCUCACCAAGGCGACGAUCCCUAGCUGGUCUGAGAGGAUGACCAGCCACACUGGAACUGAGACACGGUCCAGACUCCGACGGUAGGCAGCAGUGGGGAAUAUUGCACAAUGGGCGCAAGCCUGAUGCAGCCAUGCCGCGUGUAUGAAGAAGGCCUUAGGGUUGUAAAGUACUUUCAGCGGGGAGGCGUUACCCGCAGAAGAAGCACCGGCUAACUCCGUGCCAGCAGCCGCGGUAAUUC
RNAcentral lists this ribosomal RNA (406 nucleotides) under uncultured bacterium. RNAcentral's name for it is "partial 16S ribosomal RNA". It matches the Rfam family "Bacterial small subunit ribosomal RNA", at positions 30 to 526 of the family's 1533-position model. The record is from RNAcentral.